CUCGUAGGUGGCCGACUAAGUCGGACGUGAAAUCCCUCGGCUUAACCGGGGAACUGCGUCCGAUACUGGUUGGCUUGAGUUUGGGAGAGGGAUGCGGAAUUCCAGGUGUAGCGGUGAAAUGCGUAGAUAUCUGGAGGAACACCGGUGGCGAAGGCGGCAUCCUGGACCAAUACUGACGCUGAGGAGCGAAAGCCAGGGGAAGGCAAACGG
RNAcentral lists this ribosomal RNA (210 nucleotides) under uncultured bacterium. RNAcentral describes it as "partial 16S ribosomal RNA". It matches the Rfam family "Bacterial small subunit ribosomal RNA", at positions 568 to 775 of the family's 1533-position model. The record is from RNAcentral.